RNAcentral lists this ribosomal RNA (401 nucleotides) under uncultured bacterium. RNAcentral's name for it is "partial 16S ribosomal RNA". It matches the Rfam family "Archaeal small subunit ribosomal RNA", at positions 473 to 873 of the family's 1478-position model. The record is from RNAcentral.
AAACCGGCAGCUCUAGUGGUAACAAUUUUUAUUGGGCCUAAAGCGUCCGUAGCCGGUUUAAUAAGUCUCUGGUGAAAUCCUUCAGCUUCACUGUGGGAAUUGCUGGAGAUACUAUUAGACUUGAGACCGGGAGAGGAUAGAGGAACUCCGAGGGUAGAGGGGAAAUCCUGUAAUCCUGGGAGGACAGCCUGUUGCGAAGGCGUCUAACUGGAACGGUUCUGACGGUGAGGGACGAAAGUUAGGGGCGCGAACCGGAUUAGAUACCCGGGUAGUCCUAACUGUAAACGAUGCGGACUUGGUGUUGGGGUGGCUUUGAGCUGCUUCAGUGCCGAAGGGAAGCUGUUAAGUCCGCCGCCUGGGAAGUACGGUCGCAAGACUGAAACUUAAAUGAAUUGGCGGGG